GCGCGAGUGGCGGAAUUGGCAGACGCGCAGGAUUUAGGUUCCUGUGUCCUCGGGCGUGCGGGUUCAAGUCCCGCCUCGCGCA
The sequence is a transfer RNA, 82 nucleotides long. It matches the Rfam family "tRNA". From Rfam's summary of the family: Transfer RNA (tRNA) molecules are approximately 80 nucleotides in length. Their secondary structure includes four short double-helical elements and three loops (D, anti-codon, and T loops).